UACGGAGGGUGCAAGCGUUAUCCGGAAUCACUGGGCGUAAAGGGCGUGUAGGUGGUCUUUCAAGUCCGAUGUCAAAUCCCGGGGCUCAACCCCGGUUCGGCGUUGGAUACUACUAGGCUUGACGACUGGAGAGGUGAGUGGAAUUACCAGUGUAGCGGUGGAAUGCGUAGAUACUGGUAGGAACACCUAUUGCGAAGGCAGCUCACUGUACGGUCCGUGACACUGAGGCGCGAAAGGGUGGGUAGCAAACCGG
Molecule: unclassified non-coding RNA, 253 nt
Filed under: uncultured Trueperaceae bacterium
Lineage: Bacteria; Thermotogati; Deinococcota; Deinococci; Trueperales; Trueperaceae
Description: contains 16S-23S intergenic spacer region
Rfam family: Bacterial small subunit ribosomal RNA
Source: RNAcentral